AUUGAACGCUGGCGGCAUGCCUUACACAUGCAAGUCGAACGGCAGCACGGGAGCUUGCUCCUGGUGGCGAGUGGCGAACGGGUGAGUAAUGCAUCGGAACGUGCCCUGAAGUGGGGGAUAACGUAGCGAAAGUUACGCUAAUACCGCAUAUUCUGUGAGCAGGAAAGCAGGGGAUCUUCGGACCUUGCGCUUUUGGAGCGGCCGAUGUCGGAUUAGCUAGUUGGUGGGGUAAAGGCCCACCAAGGCGACGAUCCGUAGCGGGUCUGAGAGGAUGAUCCGCCACACUGGAACUGAGACACGGUCCAGACUCCUACGGGAGGCAGCAGUGGGGAAUUUUGGACAAUGGGCGCAAGCCUGAUCCAGCCAUGCCGCGUGAGUGAAGAAGGCCUCGGUUG
Molecule: ribosomal RNA, 395 nt
Filed under: uncultured bacterium
Lineage: Bacteria
Description: bacterial SSU rRNA
Rfam family: Bacterial small subunit ribosomal RNA
Source: RNAcentral